This 245-nucleotide ribosomal RNA is filed under the name uncultured bacterium. RNAcentral's name for it is "partial small subunit ribosomal RNA". It matches the Rfam family "Bacterial small subunit ribosomal RNA", at positions 26 to 285 of the family's 1533-position model. The record is from RNAcentral.
AGAAUCAACGCUGGCGGCGUGCCUAACACAUGCAAGUCGAACGAGAAAGUGGAGCAAUCCAUGAGUAAAGUGGCGACCGGGUGAGUAACACGUGACUAACCUACCUUCGAGUGGGGGAUAACCUCGGGAAACCGAGGCUAAUACCGCAUAACAUCGUGAGAUCAAAGCAGCAAUGCGCUGGAAGAGGGGGUCGCGGCUGAUUAGCUAGUUGGCGGGGUAAUGGCCCACCAAGGCGAAGAUCGGUA